Long non-coding RNA from Lolium rigidum, 290 nucleotides. RefSeq lists it as uncharacterized. The transcript is spliced from 3 exons. NCBI's taxonomy places the organism in Eukaryota, Viridiplantae, Streptophyta, Magnoliopsida, Poales, Poaceae. The record is from RefSeq and is a predicted model, not a curated record.
CUCUGACCGAAUUUUUGGCGUUGAAGCUCCACCGCUGUGGUGACGCCAUUGUCGAUUUCGCCCGGUGAUCAUCCAUGGCAAGGACGGCAGUAGUUUCUGUUCAGUCCGUAUGAGGAGGAGUCCGGAGAGCACGUUCACCUAUCCGCCUCAUCAUCAUGGAACUCAGUCCACGCCUCGCCGAACCCUGGAGACCGCCUGAACACUGAGUCCGCCUCCAUCAUCUUACUCGUAACCAGCUUUGUGGUCGCUGUUUGUGUGAAGAGCGACGUGUUUUGCUGAGAGAAGUGAAC